GCCACUUGAACUAUUACAUAUGGAUUUGAUUGGUCCUUCUAAGACAUUAAGUUUUGGCGGCAACUCGUAUAUAUUGGUAGUUGUUGAUGAUUUCUCUAGGUACACUUGAGUCACAUUCUUAGCUCAUAAAGAUGAAGCUUUUCUAUCUUUUACUAAUCUUUGUAGACGUCUUCAAAAUGAGAAAGGAUUUUCUAUUUCAAAUAUUAGGACUGAUCAUGGGCGAGAACUUGAAAAUUCUUCUUUUGAAAAAUAUUGUGAUGAGCUUGGUAUUGGACAUAAUUUCUCGACUCCUAGGACUCCUCAACGGAACGGGUAGUUGAGAGGAAAAAUAGGGCUCUGGAAGAAAUGGCCAGAACCAUGGUUUGUGAAAAUUCUUUGCCUAGAUAUUUUUGGGCUGAAGCUGUCCAUACAGCUUGCUUUUUUCCAUGUUUUUGGAUGUAAAUGUUUUGUGCUAAAUGAUGGAAAAUAUAACUUAGGAAAAUUUGAUGCCACAUCUGUUGAAGCUAUUAUAUUCAACAACUUGUAAAGCUUUUCGAGUUUUUAAUAAACGUACAUUACUUGUUGAAGAGUCAGUUCAUGUUGCCUUUGAUUAGUCUAAUGUCUCUCUUCCCAAGGAUGUAGUAAGUGAUAACAAAACAGGUAUAGAUCAUAGAAUGGAAAUAUUUGAAGGGACAUCGAAAGAUGAAGGACCCUUAAAUCAAAUAAUGCGAGAAAGGCAAUCACAAGAACUAGGUGGAGACAAUCAAGAUCUUUCAAAAGAGUGGAGAUUCGUCCAAAAUCACCCAAUUGAUCAAGUCAUAGGUGAUAUAUCCGAAGGUAUAACUACUCUUCAAUCUCUUAAAAAUAUAGACGUUGUGGCCCAAAGAUGAUGCAUUGGUGUCUAAGUAUCCGUUUGUAAUACAAUGAUCGCUUACUGUUUUUCAUUCACAUUUUCUUUGUCAGGGAUUAGAAAAAGAGGUUGUCACUUGCAGGGUGUAAGGUAUUAGGUAGAGGACUUUGGUUACUUAGUGGUUUUUUUAAUUCUAAAAAGCCUCUUGUAGUUUCCUUUCCUCAGUUCUUAACCGUCAAAUGCAUUUUUCCUCAUAGAAUUCACGUUCACCACAGAAGUAGAUGUAAACUACCAAUGACUUCUAAAUAGAUGGUAAUGGAGCAGUAAAGAGAUGAUGUUGGCCAUAGGGACUUUUUCUUGUUCUUCGUUCCAUCAACUUCCUGAAUUCGACCAAGUAAAACGAAGUUGCCGUAGGCGCCUUGUAGGCCAUAAUGAGCAUAGGAGGAAGCCGCCACCUGGAUCUCCAAUAUCCUUCCAAUAUGGACGGUUUUCUUUGGUUAAUUCCUUUCAGAUCCCUUUUUUUUUUUUUAGACAUGACAAAGGAAAGAAAAACUUUCUGGUCCUGUAUAGUGGUGGUUUUCAGAAUUAGUUUUGGAGAACACCUUCCACUAACUUGUUGGGUUGAUGGUUUUUUGAAUUUAUUUGAUUAGUUUUUUUUUCUAGUAAA
Molecule: long non-coding RNA, 1496 nt
Organism: Rhododendron vialii
Lineage: Eukaryota; Viridiplantae; Streptophyta; Magnoliopsida; Ericales; Ericaceae
Exons: 2
Source: RefSeq, a predicted model, not a curated record